CUCCCAGACUAAGAAGUAUGCUGAUGUGAUCAUUCCCAGAGGAGCAGAUAAUGAAGUGGCCAUAAACCUGAUAGUGCAGCACAUCCAGGACAUUCUUAACGGAGGACUCAGCAAACGCCAGAGCAACGGCUACCUGAAUGGCUACACUCCUCCCCGCCAGCGGCAGCCCUCAGAGUCCAGCAGCCGGCCUCACUGACCACGGGCGGCAGGCAUGAGGCUGGGGCGGAGGGCGCUCGGGCCCUGCCACUGCCCCUCUGUACAUACUGUUCAUUCAUUCUGCCCUUAUCUAUUUAAGAAUCCAGACGGAGACGAAUGCCUUUAAUUUUGUAUGUUGGAAAUGCCGAAUGAGAAGCAGCCGGCUGCUUGGGAGCCUGGACCGCCCACAGCUCCUGGCCUUGCUCAAUAACUCCUCCAGCACGGAACCGGCUAUAAAUCUCUAUAAAUAUAGAAUUGCUCUAUUUUUGUGUAAAUGUAGAAUAA
Cariama cristata (Red-legged seriema) is the source of this 480-nucleotide long non-coding RNA. RefSeq lists it as uncharacterized. NCBI's taxonomy places the organism in Eukaryota, Metazoa, Chordata, Aves, Cariamiformes, Cariamidae. The record is from RefSeq and is a predicted model, not a curated record. The transcript has 2 exons.